AGUGCUUCUCGGCUCUAUGAGCUAAGAUCAAGCACAGUAUCUGUUCUUAUCAGUUUAAUAUCUGAUAUGUUUCCUGGCUUGUUGAAUGGCAAAUGAUCACAUUUGUCAUCUUAUACUGAAGACACUGGGCCCAAUUCACCAAUGCCUUUUAUUGUAGGCAGAUACUUGCACCAGUGGAUGUAAAACACUA
This 190-nucleotide small nuclear RNA is filed under the name Chelonoidis abingdonii (Abingdon island giant tortoise). RNAcentral's name for it is "U2 spliceosomal RNA (ENSCABG00000006446.1)". It matches the Rfam family "U2 spliceosomal RNA". Rfam says of the family: U2 is a small nuclear RNA (snRNA) component of the spliceosome (involved in pre-mRNA splicing). Complementary binding between U2 snRNA (in an area lying towards the 5' end but 3' to hairpin I) and the branchpoint sequence (BPS) of the intron results the bulging out of an unpaired adenosine, on the BPS, which initiates a nucleophilic attack at the intronic 5' splice site, thus starting the first of two transesterification reactions that mediate splicing. Lineage: Eukaryota; Metazoa; Chordata; Testudines; Testudinidae. The record is from Rfam by way of RNAcentral.